Molecule: ribosomal RNA, 427 nt
Filed under: uncultured bacterium
Lineage: Bacteria
Description: partial 16S ribosomal RNA
Rfam family: Bacterial small subunit ribosomal RNA
Source: RNAcentral
UGGGGAAUAUUGCACAAUGGGCGCAAGCCUGAUGCAGCCAUGCCGCGUGUAUGAAGAAGGCCUUCGGGUUGUAAAGUACUUUCAGCGAGGAGGAAGGCGUUGUGGUUAAUAACCGCAACGAUUGACGUUACUCGCAGAAGAAGCACCGGCUAACUCCGUGCCAGCAGCCGCGGUCAUACGGAGGGUGCAAGCGUUAAUCGGAAUUACUGGGCGUAAAGCGCAAGCAGGCGGUCUGUCAAGUCGGAUGUGAAAUCCCCGGGCUCAACCUGGGAACUGCAUCCGAAACUGGCAGGCUAGAGUCUUGUAGAGGGGGGUAGAAUUCCAGGUGUAGCGGUGAAAUGCGUAGAGAUCUGGAGGAAUACCGGUGGCGAAGGCGGCCCCCUGGACAAAGACUGACGCUCAGGUGCGAAAGCGUGGGGAGCAAACA